This 497-nucleotide ribosomal RNA is filed under the name uncultured bacterium. Its description in RNAcentral is "partial 16S ribosomal RNA". It matches the Rfam family "Bacterial small subunit ribosomal RNA", at positions 28 to 507 of the family's 1533-position model. The record is from RNAcentral.
GACGAACGCUGGCGGCGUGCCUAAUACAUGCAAGUUGAGCGCUGAAGGUUGGUACUUGUACCAACUGGAUGAGCAGCGAACGGGUGAGUAACGCGUGGGGAAUCUGCCUUUGAGCGGGGGACAACAUUUGGAAACGAAUGCUAAUACCGCAUAAAAACUUUAAACACAAGUUUUAAGUUUGAAAGAUGCAAUUGCAUCACUCAAAGAUGAUCCCGCGUUGUAUUAGCUAGUUGGUGAGGUAAAGGCUCACCAAGGCGAUGAUACAUAGCCGACCUGAGAGGGUGAUCGGCCACAUUGGGACUGAGACACGGCCCAAACACCUACGGGAGGCAGCAGUAGGGAAUCUUCGGCAAUGGACGAAAGUCUGACCGAGCAACGCCGCGUGAGUGAAGAAGGUUUUCGGAUCGUAAAAAUCUGUUGGUAGAGAAGAACGUUGGUGAGAGUGGAAAGCUCAUCAAGUGACGGUAACUACCCAGAAAGGGACGGCUAACUACGUG